GUGCUUGCUUCAGCAGCACAUAUACUAAAUUUGGAAUGAUAUAGGGAAGAUUAGCAUGGCCACUGCACAAGGAGGACACACAGAUUCGUGAAGCAUUUUUAUAUUUU
Molecule: small nuclear RNA, 107 nt
Organism: Monodelphis domestica (gray short-tailed opossum)
Lineage: Eukaryota; Metazoa; Chordata; Mammalia; Didelphimorphia; Didelphidae
Source: Ensembl